AGUUUAUGUACACGGCCAAGCUGAGCCUGAGCCCUGAGAACGUGGAUGAUGUGCUGGCCGUGGCCACUUUCCUCCAAAUGCAGGACAUCAUCACGGCCUGCCAUGCCCUCAAGUCACUUGCUGAGCCGGCUACCAGCCCUGGGGGAAAUGCGGAGGCCUUGGCCACAGAAGGUCUGCCCUGUUCCAUCUCCAGGAGGGGACAAGAGAGCCAAAGAGGAGAAGGCGGCCACCAGCACGCUGAGCAGGCUGGAGCAGGCGGGACGCAGCACACCCAUAGGCCCCAGCAGGGACCUCAAGGAGGAGCGCGGCGGUCAGGCCCAGAGUGCGGCCAGCGGUGCAGAGCAGACAGAGAAAGCCGAUGCGCCCCGGGAGCCGCCGCCUGUGGAGCUCAAGCCAGACCCCACGAGUGGCAUGGCUGCCGCAGAAGCUGAGGCUGCUUUGUCCGAGAGCUCGGAGCAAGAAAUGGAGGUGGAGCCCGCCCGGAAAGGGGAAGAGGAGCAAGAGGAGCAAGAGGAGGAGGGCGCAGGGCCAGCUGAGGUCAAGGAGGAGGGUUCCCAGCUGGAGAACGGAGAGGCCCCCGAGGAGAACGAGAACGAGGAGUCAGCGGGCACAGACUCGGGGCAGGAGCUCGGCUCCGAGGCCCGGGGCCUGCGCUCAGGCACCUAC
RNAcentral lists this small RNA (666 nucleotides) under Pan troglodytes (chimpanzee). RNAcentral's name for it is "processed transcript". Lineage: Eukaryota; Metazoa; Chordata; Mammalia; Primates; Hominidae. The record is from RNAcentral.